Molecule: ribosomal RNA, 443 nt
Filed under: uncultured bacterium
Lineage: Bacteria
Description: partial 16S ribosomal RNA
Rfam family: Bacterial small subunit ribosomal RNA
Source: RNAcentral
CCUACGGGAGGCAGCAGUGGGGAAUAUUGGACAAUGGGGGGAACCCUGAUCCAGCGACGCCGCGUGAGUGAAGAAGUAUUUCGGUAUGUAAAGCUCUAUCAGCAGGGAAGAAAGAAAUGACGGUACCUGACUAAGAAGCCCCGGCUAACUACGUGCCAGCAGCCGCGGUAAUACGUAGGGGGCAAGCGUUAUCCGGAUUUACUGGGUGUAAAGGGAGCGUAGACGGCGAUGCAAGUCUGAAGUGAAAGGCGGGGGCCCAACCCCCGGACUGCUUUGGAAACUGUAUGGCUGGAGUGCAGGAGAGGUAAGUGGAAUUCCUAGUGUAGCGGUGAAAUGCGUAGAUAUUAGGAGGAACACCAGUGGCGAAGGCGGCUUACUGGACUGUGACUGACAUUGAUGCUCGAAAGUGUGGGUAUCAAACAGGAUUAGAUACCCCAGUAGUC